GGGUAAUACCUUUUUCUUUUCCUCAUUUCAAUACCAAACACCCCUUAACCUUUUCUCUCUCAGGGUUUGCGAAAAUGCUAGCCGCCGCCUGCUUCACCUCCCUCUCUCCUACGUUACAUUGCCGGAUAUGGCAAAGACGAGGGCCCACAUGGCUUUUGCAGCUGUGGAGUUGGCCGAGAAUGGCAAGAGCAUUAAAUGCUCUGCAAUUUCGCACCUAUCACCACCCAAAGGCCACUCUAAACACGGUAUAUCUCUCUUCUCUCCUGACUUUUCUAUGAAUCAACGGUUUAAACUCGGAAAAUCCUUAAUGGUUUUUGUUUGCAUACGUUUUGAAUACUAAUUUUUCAUUAGUUCAUAAAGAAUCAUACGGAUUGGCUUUGAUUGGGUCAAAUCUAACCUUUGAUUUGUUUGUGUGUUUGAUUCCUAACCGUUAGAUGUGGUUUUGAGAGAAGCAAACUCUCAGAUUUGCUAUACUCCCACAUCGAUUACAAACUAGGGUUUGAGAAUUUGGGGGUUCUAUAUAAAGAACUCCAUUCUCCACUAUUUCAACAAGUUUAGGCAUAUUGAUAUACCACUAUACUAAAAAAAAAAAAACUCAAAUACCUAGGGAUUUCAGCAUAAAAAUUGCGAGAACCUUUAAUUUUUUAGUUAAGUUUAAGUUUUAAAAUUUGAUUGCUUGUGUUGCGUGUGGCUGAGGUGAUUUGGGAGCAAGGAGAAUCUCUAAGUCCAACCUCGACUUGGCUGCACGAGCAAAAGGUACUUUUUCAUCCUUUUCUUUAAUUUAGUUACUUUAUAUGUUUUCUCUUAUGUGAUUAUGUGGUAGUUUAGCUUAGUUUAAAAUAGUCUUAGUUAAUUUAUAUUUCUUCUGCUAUGCAUUUGUUAGAGUAGUUUAGUAUUAAUCUCUGCUUAUUUGAUAGUGUUUUAGCUAAUUUGAGACUGCUUAGUAUUAAUGUUUGGCUUAUGAUCAUUUUGAAUCAGUGUAGCUCUUGCCCUUAGCUUAGAAUGAUUAUGUGAUCUAUUCUUAUGGUAUAGUUUAGUUGGUUCUUGGUCAGUGUUGAAUUUUCUUACAAAUCAAUUUUGGUUUCUUUUUGUUCUUUUUUUGUCCAAGACUGUUGUACACUAUUUAGCUAAUGUUUUAGUCUAGAUUGGUUAUCUUGUGGCAGUUUGCUUUGGUUUAAUAAUCAGACAUAGUCAUGUGGGUUGCUUAGUAGUCCAUAGGCCAAUUGGAACAUAAGUGGUUAAUAUAAUGUAAUCAUAUAUCAAGUAUGGUUUUGAAUAUGAACUGAUGAACUGGUAUUAGAUAAUAGAUACUUGUUUGUGUUUGUUGAAGCCCAUAAACCUGAUAUGAGUUCCAAUUUUCUAAAAAAGGUUGUAGUAUGGUGGUUUAACCAAACUGUUUGGAGUCUAUAUUUUUUAGAUCACCCUUAGAAGCUAUGAGUUACCAUCAUGUGUCAAAGGCUGUUUCUCUUGUUUGUGGUUUAAACCUUUUUCUGUCAAAAGAUUUUAAAUGAACACUGAGUUUAGACCACAGUCCAUGGUAUACUUUGCUUUCCAGUCUUUGUUUAAACAUUAUUAAAGUGAGUAUACUAGUUUAACUGAGUCAGUUUGGUUCUCCUGUUGGUUCUUAUAUCUGUGUUUAGCUGUCUAAAAGAAAAGAGGAAUUUAGGUUCUUAAUCUCAUCUAGGAGGUCUUGUUCUUCAUAAACUAUCUACGCACUUAUUUGUUUACUCAGAUUUUUUUUUUUACAAAAAAAGACUGUUCUUGUUUUUUACAUGUCUAAGUGUCUUGUGUAAUCUGGAGUCCUAUUUGUCACUAUUUAAUCACUGGUUUACUAUGGUUACUGUCAUAAUGGGUGAAUCCCACACUUGAUAAUAUGAAAGUUUAGUUAACUGAUUAGGUAAACAAGCUUAAAAACGAUUGAACUAAUUUUCCUUGGAGUUAGUUAAAUCUCUUAAGUUUACAGAUUAGGAGUUAAGUAAAACAGGAUCAUGGUUUAUUUCUUAUUUUCUCUUGUUUGUCCUCUGCGCUCCUAAAUGUUAAACACAUCAACUGCCACUGCCUGUGUCCUGUGUUGUUUUAUGGGUUUUGAUAUUAAAUUGGCUUCAAAGUCAGGACCUCAACUUUCUUGUUACUAUUUUGACAUCUGACGAAACUGAGUAGUCAUUUGAACCUGUUUUAUGGAGUAGGAUAUUUAUUUAUAUGGACUUUAAAGGACUGAAAAUAGGGAGUAAAGAUUUGAAGUUGAAUUACUUGUGUCCGGUUGUCCUGUUCUGUUGAAACUUAUAAUGUUAAGGUGAUUUCUUUGUCUCUCCAUGCUCUGUUUGAAUGAGAUGUCUUUAGGUUAAAAUCUUGAACCAUGUAUAUCCCCUCCCCUUACCCUUUAUUUGUUUGAACUAAAUAUCAGUUAUAUACAAUAGAUAUACAUAGGAUAUACAAGUCCAGUAUACAUUCCGAUGUACCCAGAGUUGUAUAUAAUGUAUAUCACCUGAAUUUCUCUUAAAAUAAGCUUAAACAUCAUGGGCUUGUCUGAUCCAAUCUGUUUGUCCUCACGUGAACCUUAUGGGCUUGAGUCCAAUUUGAAUCAUCAGGGCUUUGAUAUAAAUUUUUUCUGAAACUGUUUGCAUUUUUUUACCGUCUGGGCCUGCGUUUAUGUAUCCUUGGGCUUUGAAUAGUGCUCACGUCUCAUCCAAACUUGUUGAAGUGUAUAUCUGAAUUAAAUCUGUUUAGUAUAUGUAUGUUUGAAUACUUGUGUAUUUUAAUUUCUGUUUAAUUGUUGUGAAUAAGUUGGGUGGUUCUAACCCCAAAUCUCUUUUUCCCCUUUCUCUUUGCAUGGCAUACUACCUGGGUACUCUUCUCUUUUUUAUACCAUGUUGGUCCUGAGGCCCAAUUUCCUUGAUCGAGUCAGCAUGAUUUUAGAAAGGGAAGCUAAUAUAUUGAAGGCCCAACGAUGGGUGAAAAUGAUCACUGGUCGGCUUAGGAGUUCUCUGAUCUUAUGCAAAGUGAGUUUGAAAUGAGCAUGAUGGAAGAAUUAACCUUCUUAUUGGGACUCCAAAUUGUCCAAAGUAAGGAUGAAACCUUUAUUUGCCAAACCAAGUAAACUAAAGAACUUAUUCAAAAGUUUGGCAUGACUGAAGCUAAAGCUUUAGGGACUCCAGUGAGCCCUACCAACUCUCUCGAUAAAGAUGAAGAAGGAAAGCCUGUUGAUGAAUCUAAAUAUUGUGGUAUGAUUGGAUCUUUACUUUAUCUAACUGCCAGUCUACGAGACAUUAUGUUUAGUUUUUGUAGGCGUGCAAGAUUUCAAUCAACUCCAAGAUUCACCUCAUAUAGUUGUUGAGAGAAUUAUUCGAUAUCUUGUUGGAACUCCUAAUUAUGGUCUUUGGUAUCCAAAUACUAACAAUUUUAAACUUGAAGGAUUUUCUAAUGCGAAUUUUGCAAGUGAUAAAGAUGAGAGAAAAAGUACUAGUGGAACUUGUCAACUCUUGGGAAAAUCCUUGAUCUCUUGGAACAGCAAGAAACAAGGAUCUGUCUCACUAUCAACAACUGAAGUUGAAUACAUUGCCAUAGGACAAUGUUGUGCUCAAUUAAUAUAGAUGACUCAUCUUAUUGAUUAUGACUUGCUAUUUAGACUUGUCAAAAAAAAUUGUGAUAACUCUAGUGUUAUUUGCUUGUCAAAGAAUCAUGUGCAUCAUUCUAGGGUAAAGCAUAUAGAUAUUAAACAUCACUUUAUUAGAGAUCAUGUUAUUAAGGGUAACAUAGAAAUUGCUUUUGUUAGCAAGACUCUCAACUUGCUGAUGUGUUCACUAAACCCUUGCUUGAAGAAAGAUCUUAUUACUUAGAGACUCACUUCGAAUAAUUGCUAACCAUGUGAUAUAUUUAUAAUUUCCCUAAUUUUUGCAUGUACUCUUAAUUAUUUUUCCUUAAACGUGUGGUGUACGAGUUGUUCGUGCGUCAAUCAAUAUAUUUUCAUUUAUUCACUGCCUUAAUUGGGUACUAGGAUCCUAGCCUUUUUCCCACCACUUCACGCCUCUACAUUUUCCUUUUAUACCAACUCCCUCUGUUCCAUCAUUACUCUACCGCCUCUUCCUAUACCUUAUGAUGUUUCUUGUCACACGUCACACCAAUUCUCUUCCCCAUCAUUUUGAAUUCUAUCUAACCCUCUUAUUUACUCUUCCCACCUUACACCACUCUGCAUCUUCCCUCCAAACCUUUCACCUUUCAUCUUUUUCAUCCAUGACUAAAACAACCUAGAAUCCUUCUAGCCCUGUCCGCAAAAGCUCUCACAGCAAGACCAACACAUCUCGCAAAAUGGAACCUGUUCAUAUCGACUCUAACAACUCUGACCACACUCUCUCCGAUCAUGACCUCUCCGAUUGUGGGGAAAUUUUGUCUGAAAAACAACUCGGUAAGCGUCCUAUCUCACACCUUGAGUGUUCUGAGUUUCCCAAAAAGGUAAAAAUCGAGCUUGAUAGUUUUUAUGACAAUAGGAUGAAUUUCUAGGAAACUAAGAAUUUUGAUCUUUUUACCAUCCUUAGGACCAAACCUGUUAACCCAGGUCAUGUUGUUGAUCUUAACUUGUUUGAGACUCUCCAUUGUAAUCUUAAGCCUUAUUUUGACUAUCAAGGUUGGAGCAGUAUAUUCCAUGUCCUGCUGAGGUUUAUGAUAAUCUUGUCUGUAUGUUCUAUGCUAAUCUUCGUUCCUCUCGUCCUAAUGAACUCGAAACUCUUGUGCUAGGAAAACGUAUCUUUCUUGAUUGUGAAAUGUUUGAUCCCUUUUAUGUUGUUCCUGCUCUGGCUACUCUUGUCCUUUUCACAAUGCUUGGCCUGAAAACUUUGAAGUUACCUAUGAACAAGCCAAAGAAGUAAUUUCUGAGCCUUCUACUGACCCUCCCCCAAAUCAACUCACUCCAAAUGAACUCUGUUUCACCACUAGAGUCCUUGCCCACAUUGUCUCUACCACAAUUUCGCCCCGAAAUGGCUCCGUCUCAACACUCACUCAGCGGGACACUCUCAUCACCUACUAUCUUGUUAUGUAAAAAAAACUCAAGCUAUCCUCUCUCAUUAUCAACAGUAUGAUUGAAGUUUCUCCUGAUUCUCCUUACCUUCCUAUUGUAUGCUCAUAACAAGACUUCUUGAAGCAUGUGACCUCGAACUUGUCUAAUUCCGUAGUACCUCUGUCACUAAAUGCUAUAACUCUAAGUAUGGGGUAUGUUCUUGGAGGUGAUUCUUGGGUGAAGAAAGAAAUUGAAGUCCCUCUACCUCCUCUCACUUCUGACACCAAAGAAUUUAUUGCCUUAGAUUGUGAUCUUCUCGCUAAGCUAGUUGUGUUAGAUGGAAAAAUUAAUGGUUUGAGGGAAUUGCUCCUGUCUCACCAAUCCCAACUCGACAAACUCAAGGAUGUCGCUACAGAAAGGGAAUCUGACGUGAGCAAGCUCAGGUUGUUGGUGGAGAGAACUUCUAAGGAUGCGAUCAAGACUUUGAAGAACGUCUUCUCUGCAGUGGAUGUUGUCCCUGUUAGAAUUGACACAAUGCAACAUAAUGCAGGAGGCCCUCCUUCACAAGUUGGACAAUUUGAAGACCGCUCUUCUCCAGCUCUUACUUACUUUUUUAUUCCCUAGAUGUUGGGUUAUGUUGCUAUGUUAAGACAAUGUUUUGCUUUAUGGUUUGUUGCUACUUGGUUGCAUGUCUCUGUGAACUGCCCCUUUUGCUACUUGCCUACUAUGUGUUAAUUCUCUUAGUUAUAUUAGCCAAUCCCUUCUAUGAAUGUGUUACUUGUAUCGUUUGUUUGCUCCUUUCUUUUUGUUGAUGCCAAAGCGGGAGAAAUAUUGAAUUCAGGGGGAGCAUAAGUGCAAGUCCUAUGCAAGUCAAUUACCAAGAACUCAGGGGGAGCAGUCAAUUUGCAUCUAAAGGGAAGUACAAUACAUUAUAUUUCAAAAAAGGGGAGAUUGGCAGAUUUUAAUGAUGACUUAAUGUAUUAUGCAGGUACACCAAAAUAAAAAAAAAUAAAAAAGGACAAAAGUGACACUGGACCCUAUACCACGAAGAGUCAACAAAAGAGAAUAAGAGGAAGAAUAUUGCAUUAAUUAAUUAAUGCAAUGAUACUAGGACCUCGAUAUCCUUACUGCAGAAUGUGGAUGAGCUUAUUGUUCACAGUCUUAGUUUAAUGCAAAGUUCCUGAUCAGAUUCUGCAUUUAGUAACCAGUAUUCAGGUUGUUGCAGUACAAAUGUACAAUAUGUUUCUAUAUGUGCUUUGGGAACUUCCUUCAGUGGUUGCAUCGCUGCUACAUAAAAGGGAGACCAGUUUGGGAAGUUCAGACUUGUACAGAAAAUACUUAAGGCUAGAGAGACAUUAAUUUGAAGUUGUUGGUUACUCCUCAGAUGAUGUGAUCCAAACGAGCUCCUUCUCUAUCAAGAAGCUAAACCAUGGGUGACUUUCCCAAAGUGAGUUGGAGGAAAUUGAUAUGCAAUAACUUGAGAGCACCCAACUGGUGCUUCAUACUAUACCUAGCAAUCAAUUAUAGGCUGCUCACCAAGGAUACAUGCAUUGGCAAGGUGGAAAGACAUGGAUGACUUGUUGUGCCCUCUCUGUGAGGUGGAGGAAGAAACCAUUGAUCAUCUGUUCUUUAAAUGCUCAUUAUCCUCUUCUUAUGGGGUAAGGUGUUGGUCUGGCAAGGUGUUAACAGGGGUUCACUAUGUUGGAAGGAUGAAAUACAAUAGGCAAUAUCACAUACUAAAGGAAGAAGUACUGGUGUUUCUAUUCUCAGAAUGUCCCUGGCAUGCUGCUCCUAUACAACUUGAAUCGAAGGAACAGAAGGAUUUUCCAAAAGCAGAAAGUUGCAGUAGGUAGUUUAGUGAAGCAAGUAGUGCGAGAAGUAUAUUGUUGUGGUGCUAAGUAGGGCAGGCUAAGGAGUAGACUUCAUAGUUUAAACUAUUAUUCCUAAGCUUGUGUGAGGAGUGCUAGAUCUUGGUUGCAGUGAUGCCUGGUAGUGCAGGUUUGAGGUUGUCCAAACUCUGUUGUUUUUGUUUUCCUGCUCUGUAA
This is a long non-coding RNA of Lycium barbarum (goji berry), 7035 nucleotides long. RefSeq lists it as uncharacterized. Lineage: Eukaryota; Viridiplantae; Streptophyta; Magnoliopsida; Solanales; Solanaceae. The record is from RefSeq and is a predicted model, not a curated record. The transcript is spliced from 3 exons.